This 387-nucleotide ribosomal RNA is filed under the name uncultured bacterium. Its description in RNAcentral is "bacterial SSU rRNA". It matches the Rfam family "Bacterial small subunit ribosomal RNA", at positions 29 to 416 of the family's 1533-position model. The record is from RNAcentral.
AUUGAACGCUGGCGGAAUGCUUUACACAUGCAAGUCGAACGGCAGCACGGGGCAACCUGGUGGCGAGUGGCGAACGGGUGAGUAAUACAUCGGAACGUGCCCAGUCGUGGGGGAUAACGUAGCGAAAGCUACGCUAAUACCGCAUACGAUCUACGGAUGAAAGCGGGGGACGUCGCAAGAGCCUCGCGCGAUUGGAGCGGCCGAUGGCAGAUUAGGUAGUUGGUGGGGUAAAGGCUCACCAAGCCUGCGAUCUGUAGCUGGUCUGAGAGGACGACCAGCCACACUGGAACUGAGACACGGUCCAGACUCCUACGGGAGGCAGCAGUGGGGAAUUUUGGACAAUGGGCGCAAGCCUGAUCCAGCCAUUCCGCGUGCAGGAUGAAGGCC